Molecule: ribosomal RNA, 460 nt
Filed under: uncultured bacterium
Lineage: Bacteria
Description: partial 16S ribosomal RNA
Rfam family: Bacterial small subunit ribosomal RNA
Source: RNAcentral
CCUACGGGUGGCUGCAGUGAGGAAUAUUGGUCAAUGGGCGCGAGCCUGAACCAGCAACGUAGCGUGCAGGAUGACUGCCCUACGGGUUGUAAACUUCUUUUAUAAAGGAAUAUAGUGAGGCACGUGUGCCUUUUUGAAUGUACUUUAUGAAUAAGGCUCGGCUAACUCCGUGACAGCAGCCGCGGUAAUACGGAGGAUCCGAGCGUUAUCCGGAUUUAGUGUGUUUAAAGGGAGCGUAGAUGGGUUGUUAAGUCAGUUGUGAAAGUUUGCGGCUCAACCGUAAAAUUGCAAUUGAUACUGGCAGCCUUGAGUACAGUUGAGGUAGGUGGAAUUCGUGGUGUAGCGGUGAAAUGCUUAGAUAUCACGAAGAACUCCGAUUGCGAAGGCAGCUUACUAAACUGCCACUGACAUUGAUGCUCGAAAGUGUAGGUAUCAAACAGGAUUAGAUACCCCUGUAGUC